UUCUUGGAGAGUUUGAUCCUGGCUCAGGACGAACGCUGGCGGCGUGCCUAAUACAUGCAAGUCGAGCGAGACUCUUCGGAGUCUAGCGGCGGACGGGUGAGUAACACGUGGGCAACCUGCCUGUAAGACUGGGAUAACACCGGGAAACCGGUGCUAAUACCGGAUAAUCCUUUUCCUCUCAUGAGGAAAAGCUGAAAGUCGGUUUCGGCUGACACUUACAGAUGGGCCCGCGGCGCAUUAGCUAGUUGGUGAGGUAACGGCUCACCAAGGCGACGAUGCG
This 280-nucleotide ribosomal RNA is filed under the name Neobacillus sp. BSR1-1. RNAcentral's name for it is "Paenibacillus sp. BSR1-1 partial 16S ribosomal RNA". It matches the Rfam family "Bacterial small subunit ribosomal RNA", at positions 1 to 283 of the family's 1533-position model. Lineage: Bacteria; Bacillati; Bacillota; Bacilli; Caryophanales; Bacillaceae. The record is from RNAcentral.